AAACUAUUUUAAUUGUUUUGAAAACAGUUGUAAAGAAUAUAUCUUGUAGUUUU
Molecule: transfer RNA, 53 nt
Filed under: Cooperia oncophora
Lineage: Eukaryota; Metazoa; Nematoda; Chromadorea; Rhabditida; Trichostrongylidae
Description: tRNA-Ser
Source: RNAcentral